This 7127-nucleotide long non-coding RNA is filed under the name Spirodela polyrhiza (greater duckweed). RNAcentral's name for it is "long non-coding RNA (SPOL_LNC000736)". The record is from RNAcentral. Lineage: Eukaryota; Viridiplantae; Streptophyta; Magnoliopsida; Alismatales; Araceae.
AAGGUUUCUUCCUCUUGACCGAAUCUGUAACCUUCAUUAGCAGACUCGUUUUCAGUGGUUUCCCUGAUCAAACUAGAAGUUGUGUUCAACCUAAAUUUCAUAAAAUAAUUAAGAGUAAAGUUAAUUUGAGAUUCAAUUUAUAAACGUGGGAUCUGAUGGUUCUAAAUCACAAUGACUAAAGACUAUCACUUCUCCCUAUCGAAAGUGGAUUAAAUUAUAUCCAGACAAUUUGAACUCCAUUGACAUUGUAAGGAGUUUUAGUAGUCAUGGAGCACCCAUGCUAGGAUUAGAACCCAUUGUAGAAGUAUCUCCUACAGAAGAUGAAAGAAUUUCUCCUUCAUUUGAAAUAUCAAUAAAUUGGUUGAAUUCAUCAUAUUUGAUAUUCUGUCAAUAGAUCUUUGCUGAGAGAAGGAUGGUUCAAGAACCAUAAUCUUUGGAAGAAAUUUUAAGAAAGAUAACGAUAGGAAACGAAAGGAAUCCGACCCACUAUGUGGCAAGAUAAUGCAAGGAGGUAUGGAGAGAGAGAUUCUCUUAUUCGUUGUUAAAAGACUCUUUACAAAUGACAUGGGGACAGGUAUUUAUACCAGACCCUCAAAAAGUUCUAGACAUAUAACUCAAUUAUUACAAAAGACUUGAUAAUAAAAACUAGAAACAUCUCAACAACAGCUAUCAUAAUCAUCUUUACGUUGUCCAUCAUCAAGACAUAUGGCAAAGUUUUAAUUGAAGACUAAGUCAGUUCAGCAGCGAACCAGGGCAUCUCACUCUGCACCAAUGACAAAUAUCACAAGAAGCUCUGUCAAAGAACUACAAUUUAUUUACAAAAAAAACCUUAAAAAUAGAAGAUAUAUCAAAUAAAAUCCCAAAAUUUUCAAUAUACACGAGAACCUGUAUUAGCUUCUCAGAGAAUUAAACAGGCCACACCACAUGGGAACGGGUAGAGGGCCAAAUGGAAGGGUGUACUGUGAAGGUCAGGAGACGUGCAAAGGGGCCUCAGGAACAGUAUCAAGAACAAAAGGCCCCAGUUUGCCGGUUCUGAACAAAGUUAUCAACUUCUUUGAGACCAUGGUGCGAGCUUCUUCCACAGAUUUUGUCGAUAUCUUAAAGGUCUCCUGGAGGACUGUCAGCUGUUCGUCAAUGAGGCACUCCAGCUCGUUCUCCCCGGUUAAAUUCCCCUCAAAUGAAACGAAUGUGGCGUACAGUGUCCGUUGAACAUCCUUUACGACGUCCUGCAUCCACCAAGUGUGAAAAGGUGACGGAACUGUGAGCUAACAAAACCACGGAACUAAUUUAUAUAGAAAAAUUUUAGAAGUAAUUGUUUGAAAGAUGUGGUAAAUAGUCUUUCAAGGGAUAUGUCAUAGAACCCCACCCACCCCCACCCCCCACCCUUCAAAUUGGGGAUGCAGAACAGCUGUUGAUAAAAUAUCACUGGUUUGCUACACCAAAGUUUGGAUGGCAGCUCCUGAGUUAAAAUUACCAAGAGAUCAAGCCGGGUUCCAGAUGAUUGAGAGUGAAGGCAUAAUAAAGAGAUAGGUGGAAUUGGGAGGAAAAUCAAAGGAGGCAUUGGGGAAGAUUGAAACAAAACGCCAGAGAUGGAACCAAGGCAGCAGCAGUACUUUUAUGGUGAGGAGAUAGUUGAGAACAACAUCAAAAAUUACACACAUUUGUAGAGAAAAGUUUAGAACAACCGAUAAUAGAAAUUGGGAAAAAUUGAGCACAGAAAGAAUAGGGUGGAAGGCAGUUGAGAGAGAAGGAAAGAAAAAGUUUUAAGAAAGCGUGUAAAAUAGAAUAUAAAUAAAUGGAAAGAACUGAGAAAGAAACGAAUCAUCAGGAAAGAUAAGAGAGAAUAAGAUGGAUGAUCAUGAAGAUAGAGAGAGUGAGAAGAGAAAAAGAUGAAAGAAUGGGAAAGAAUGCAAAGAAAAGAUGCACAGAUGCACAGCCAAAAAAGAGGACAGAGAGACAAAAAAAGGGUUGUAAGAGCAACCACGAGGUGAGAAACACUCAGACAGUGGAUAAUAACGAAGAAAAGAAGAAUUAGAGCUGACAAAAAAAGGAUGGAGUAGGGAAUAUACCUUAUGGAAAGUAAAGACAUUUUUCCUCAUACAUAAGCCUUGUAGUUAUAUGGAAAGAAUCUAAAUAUAUUACCUCAAUAUACCACACGUCAGAAUGAUCCAAUUGUUGCCCCGUCCGUCGUAAAGAAGCUUUAAAUAUUUUUUUGUUUCUUGUUAUUGCCUCAGAUAGAGAUCCACUCCGCUCAUUGUUCAAGUUCUUCCAAUGAAGAGGUGUGUUCCGAUUGUUCAAGACUGAAAGAAAGUACCUUGCAAGGCGCUCCUCACCAACAACUGAAUCUUUCACAGCUCCUAGGUCACAAGAAAGCUUUCAAAGAUAGUUCUGAAUAUAAACACCACUCUAGGACCACCGAAAAGGAGAAAUUAAGGUAGAUUAAACAGAAAAUAAAGUACCCAUCUCGAGAAAACAAAGGACUUAUAGCGUCAGAAAAAGUCAUGCCAUUGCCUCUUAACAUGAACAGAAUUAUAUUUUCUCAAUUUUAGCAAGAAAGGCGCUACAAUGAAGAAUUAUCUUCUUAUUAAAUCAAGGCUAUAAAAUAAAUCAUCAGCGUUCAACUUAUUUACAUAGACCAAGUGAUAGAGUAAGUGCCCCAAGUCGAGGACAUUUCAGACAUCCUCAUUCGGGCACAAUGUUAGGUCUUCCUGUAAUGUUUUGGUUAACAAUUUCUGAGCCAACUUUUGGGCAAGAAAGCAAACAAGUAGAAGAGGAACCUGUCAAGGCAAGCUUCAGUCCCGUCUCUAUGUCUGCAAUGCUAGGAACCAGAACACCAGGUGUGUCCAAAACGUAUAUGCUAGGCUGAUUUGCAAUCUGUGGAAGACGUCAUCAAUUGCUGAAUAAAAUUUUUUGAAGGGAAAUCGUGCUAUUUUCCAAUCACUGGGUCAUGAAAUACCUACUAUCAUAAAUAAAUGAAUGGCAUGUCCUGACAAAUGACACAGGUGUGUUUUCUUCAUAAUAUACAGAAACAAUGAAGAAAAAUAAAUAAUAUAAUAAUAUACAUAACUAUAAUACAUGUCAUUGAAGUUUUCACAUCAAUAACAAUAAAAUAUUAUUAUCUAUAAAUAGUUUCCUAGUUAACAUUAUCUAAAAUACUUAUGAACAAAAGUUUACAUCCAACUACCAUGAUGGUCAGCAAGCCGCUAAUCAGUGCAUUAGCCAUUUUCAGGCAAACCGUGGAUGAAGAACACCAUGAACACACGAUUAUCUCACGAGAUUAGUAUAUUAUAUGCAUUUGCACGCAAUUGUUAUCAUCUCAUUAGAACAAGCUUUUAUUCGAUACACAUUCAAAUAAGGACUGCGUCUCUGAUUUCUGAGCAAUCGGGUAUUUGGUCCUCCAAACUAAAUAAAUACUACGCAGCAUGAAAUAGAUUGGCUCAUUCGGUGAUGUAUUAGAUUAAGUUUGCAAAAGCCAAUCUGAAUCAAUUUUCUGAUAAGGGUAACUGCAGAUGAGGCUUAAAUACCAUGAGAUGGUUAUGGUUUCUUAAAACUGCCUCCCCAUAUAGAACAGAGAUCAACAGAAAGGUUCAGAGAUGUCAUAGGUUCAACAGAAAACUAUUGACGCCAUAGUUUGUAAAAACCCAAGCAUGGUACAGCGAAUUAACCAGAGCAGCAACAGAGAGCUUAUAUUUAGAAGGAUGCACCUGCAUAAAUCGAGAACCAGGACAUGUCGAACAACUCAAAGGUUGGCAUAAACCUAGACGGAAGCGAUGCUCUAACAUAGAAAGUAAGAAAGGAAAGAAAUACUGUGAGCUUGUAUUAGCAGGAUGCAACUUCUUCCUCAGAAACUUUGAAAGGAUAGCAGCAUGAGCAUUUGGCAGCUGCUUCAUUUGAAGUNNNNNNNNNNNNNNNNNNNNNNNNNNNNNNNNNNNNNNNNNNNNNNNNNNNNNNNNNNNNNNNNNNNNNNNNNNNNNNNNNNNNNNNNNNNNNNNNNNNNNNNNNNNNNNNNNNNNNNNNNNNNNNNNNNNNNNNNNNNNNNNNNNNNNNNNNNNNNNNNNNNNNNNNNNNNNNNNNNNNNNNNNNNNNNNNNNNNNNNNNNNNNNNNNNNNNNNNNNNNNNNNNNNNNNNNNNNNNNNNNNNNNNUUCUAUCAAUCCUUAGAAUUUAAUGUGGAGUUUGACAUUGCCUCCAUUAGAUGCGAUUGAAUAGCAUAUCAACUGACCAAAUUACGAGGAACUUCAUUUAAAUCUCAGUUUCUAUCAACGAAAAUCAUUAGAGGUCAUAGAUUCUAGAGAGUUGCACUGGUGCUUCUGCCAACAUGGUGAAUGAACAAUUAACAUGUAGGAUACAACAACUAUAACCGCCAUAAAAAACAUAAUGAAAACUAAAGCCAAAAAUAGCAAUAACAUUCAAAUUAGAUGUAUUCGACAAGAAAAAAAAUUGAAAACAUAAAAAAUUUGAUGAGAAUACUAAAUUUCUCAAAACAGGAAAUAUGCAUAAUUUUGACCUUAUAUCCUGCAAUAUCCUGGGUGACACCAGGCAAAGGUCCAACGGUUGCUCGCUUCAUUCUAUCCUGCACUGUGACAAAAAAUCAUUUCGAUGGGAAAAGAUGUCCCAUUCAAUUGUCAGAAGAAUAAACGGCCAACAUUGAAAACUUGAUUAUAGUUAAAAGGAAAUCUUAAGAAAAAGUGGAACCAGUUACCAGGAAAGCGAGAAGAUGCAAUCUGAUGAAUGGAAUUAAUAAGUGCAGACUUCCCAACGUUUGGAAUACCAACCACCAUGACCAAAAGUGUCGGUUCUCUGGAGAUAACUUCCUUCAGUUUCAGUUCCACGAGUGUAAGCAGCUGUUCAUUCCGAACACGAAAAUCAACAGGAUAAUUAUGGAAGAAACGAGUAGAACUGAUUAGACAAAAAAAGUGACAGACAGAACAAGAGUCCUAGACAAAACUACAAUACUAACGCCAGAAAUAAUAGACAGGGUGACUCAAAGCUAGAAUUGAGCGGGACAUUGCACAAUAGGGAGAAUACUUUUUGAGCAUGUCAUAAUAAAACGGAUGAAAAAAAAUAUUGAUAAUAGAAACAUCCAAAACGCAUGUAACAGCAAUUACAGUGGCACAUUCACGAAAAAUAAUUGAUAAGUGGAUCAUGUGCAAAAUGAAGCUGCCUGUUAAUAAGGGAAAUUCUAAACAUCAGAACAAGCUCAGUAUGAAAAACUUGUGACAAUUGGUUCGUCUAGACUUGCUUCUUGAUUGUUUUCUUUACCGACUAAGUCCCUGCUCUUCUGUCGUUGGCUCACCUAGAACAUUACCCAGAUAAGGUUCUCAGCCCUCUCACAAGCACAGACAUAUAUAUAUGCAUAGACAUGAUUGAAGAACUGUCUAUUUCAAAAGUUUCAUUAUUCCUUCAUAUCAGCAUGACUAGAGAAGUAUUCAGAUUUCAGUUAAACAAAACAUAUCACAGGUUAAAAUAUUUCCGAAAAGUCAUGGACAAGAAAAAAUUUGAGUACACCUUUAAGACAUGAAAAUCAAGGUUAUCAAGUUUGUUAAUAACAAUAUUAACAUAAAACAGAGAGAAAAAUGAGAUGAACGUCGAGUCUGUCGAUCAUUAGUAGAUGGCACAUUAUUCAUUCAAGGUGACAACAGUCAACUGUGGAAUGUCAUAUCCACAAAGGUUGAGAACAAAACAUUGCAGCUUUGAGCCUAGGGAUUCAUGUGGAGCUAAUAAGCAGGAUUUUGGGGUUUUAAUUUCUAACCUUGGAAAUUUAGAUAAAAUAUUAAAAAGUCUCCAAGAUUUGGCUAUUUUACAGAUCUUUCGGAUAUAAUUAUAACGAUCUAAAAGGGAUAUUUCCAAGCAUGAAGAUCUUUCGGCUGAUACAAAGCUGUAGUGAUACUACAUCUAAUGCUCACGUUAAUUUUUACUCCUAGGAAUCUCUAGGUCACUACAGUUGGCAUGAGAUACCGUCAUCCAGAAGGUCACAACUUCGCAUGAUACCCAAGGAGGUCAAGAAAGUAGACUAGCUUUUUGCAGUUAUGAAUGAAUAUCGUUUUGAACCACUGUGCAAGAUAUUGUGCAACCGUAUCAGCCAUCAGAAAGACUUCCAAGGCCAAUAGGGUUGACCAAUAAAGCCAUAGUAUCAGCUGCAACAGAAGCUGGAUAUCCACCAUCAAUCCAACGACACAAGCCAAAAUGGAAGAUCUGAACAUUAGAAGUACACUUACUGGUAGAUAGAUUACAACUGUUAGCAUGGAAAAUGAUCUUUAUAGUUUGCAUGAAGCUCACAACUCUCCUGACGUUCUGUAAAUAGAGCGUUCGAACUGAUGCAGGAUGGAUGCAAGGAGUGCUGACACCUCAUGAUCGCGCAAGACCUAAAUCAUGCUCACUCAUGAAUCAUGAAGAAGAUAAAUAAAGGGAGUCAGCUUUGAUAUGAGAGAUUCAGCUCCCAUUAUCCAUCAAAAUUUGUAUUCUGAACAUUUUCACUGAGUAACACGCCAACAUGUUAUUAUAAUUGCUCUUUUUAACGGAAAAUUGUUCCCAACAAGUUAAUCUUGUAUCUUCCAAAUCCCCCCUUAAGGCGCUGGAUUGCUAGUUAUUUGAUGGAGCACGAGUGAUCUUGGAGAGGAGUGUGACAGUAAGGGAGAACGGGAAGAAAAGCAUACAGCUCACACCGGCACCUGUCCAAGGAGUCAAUUUUCUUCACAUUAUUUUCUUCCUUUCUCUUCUCCUGUUCUCUUUCCUCUUCGACAGCUUUUUUAAAUCCUCCUUAUCCUCUCCUCUCACCAACCUGAGAUUCGCUAAAAAUAUCUGCCCUUUAUCAGCUGAUGUUCAUCCGGGAUCAUCACUGGAACAGGAACCAAGCAUAUAAAUACUUUAGUUCUAAAACACAGAUUUCAAACCUCUCCUCAGGCAAGACCAAAGAGAAAGAUGAUACUGAGCUUCCAUAGACAUGUACCAUAUAUUCAAAAUAUAUCACUUGAACAAAAAGUCAAAAAUCCACGAACAACAACUGAUGUCAGAAUUCAACAGGGAAAUUCAGAUCCUCCGGAUAUCCAAUGACAGUCAAAAGAAGAUUGGAAAAAAUAUCCAUGCAGCUGAAGCUUUAACACCUCAAGCAAGUUACACUGGCAGAUAA